CAAUAGCGUAUAUUUAAGUUGUUGCAGUUAAAAAGCUCGUAGUUGGAUUUCGGUUAAGAGCGACCGGUCCGCCGUUUGGUGUGCACUGGUUGGUUUUAACUUCCUGUAGAGGACGUGCUCUGGGUUUAACGACCUGGACUCGGAGUCUACGUGGUUACUUUGAAAAAAUUAGAGUGUUCAAAGCGGGCUUACGCUUGAAUAUUUCAGCAUGGAAUAACACUAUAGGACUCCUGUCCUAUUUCGUUAGUCUCGGGACGGGAGUAAUGAUUAAGAGGAACAGUUGGGGGCAUUCGUAUUUCAUUGUCAGAGGUGAAAUUCUUGGAUUUAUGAAAGACGAACUUCUGCGAAAGCAUUUGCCAAGGAUGUUUUCAUUAA
This 375-nucleotide ribosomal RNA is filed under the name uncultured eukaryote. RNAcentral describes it as "partial 18S ribosomal RNA". It matches the Rfam family "Eukaryotic small subunit ribosomal RNA", at positions 592 to 976 of the family's 1831-position model. The record is from RNAcentral.